ACCAAUUAGCGAGACGAUGAACAUUAGAGCCAAUGUCGUCGACGGCGGCUGUUUCGCAUUGCAUGCCCAUAAGAGUGACCACGGAUGUACUGGCACUUGUGAUUGGGAUCAGAAAGGUCGGGCUAGCCCGACCUUUUUCGUU
This is a small RNA of Rhizobium sp. Leaf306, 142 nucleotides long. It matches the Rfam family "Alphaproteobacterial sRNA ar35". The record is from Rfam. NCBI's taxonomy places the organism in Bacteria, Pseudomonadati, Pseudomonadota, Alphaproteobacteria, Hyphomicrobiales, Rhizobiaceae.